CAUAGGAAGAGUCAAUGAAGUUUCAUUUUUGCUUUGUAUAAGAAAAGAGUGUACAUGUACCAGCAAUUUUGUUACAGGUAGAGCAACACCAAAACAACAGACAUGGAACCGACGGUCUUGAAGUUCUUCAAGGAUAAAGAGAUCAGUCCAUGUGUGGCUAUCACAGAAGCAGAUUUGAAAUGGAAAUCUCCCUGUAUUUUUUCUACCAUGAUCCGGUGGCUUCUCAUUUCCCACUGGCUUUAGAGGCUGGAAUCUUCAAAAUAGACCAACUAAGCUGAACAAGCCCUUCAUCAGCCACAUGACAAGAU
Long non-coding RNA from Mustela erminea (ermine), 308 nucleotides. RefSeq lists it as uncharacterized. The record is from RefSeq and is a predicted model, not a curated record. The transcript is spliced from 3 exons. NCBI's taxonomy places the organism in Eukaryota, Metazoa, Chordata, Mammalia, Carnivora, Mustelidae.